Molecule: non-coding RNA, 100 nt
Organism: Annulohypoxylon truncatum
Lineage: Eukaryota; Fungi; Ascomycota; Sordariomycetes; Xylariales; Hypoxylaceae
Source: the annotation of a RefSeq genome assembly
GGUGGCUUCGUAUAGUGGCUAGUACAACACGUUGUGGUUGCGAAAAUUCGAUUACUUCAAACGUACCGUGUAAACCUGGGUUCGAUUCCCAGAGCCGCCA